ACUUAUAUUCUGUAGCAAGGUUAACCGAAUAGGGGAGCCGAAGGGAAACCGAGUCUUAACUGGGCGUUAAGUUGCAGGGUAUAGACCCGAAACCCGGUGCUCUAGCCAUGGGCGGGUUGA
This 120-nucleotide ribosomal RNA is filed under the name Escherichia coli. Its description in RNAcentral is "partial 23S ribosomal RNA". It matches the Rfam family "Bacterial large subunit ribosomal RNA", at positions 626 to 748 of the family's 2925-position model. Lineage: Bacteria; Pseudomonadati; Pseudomonadota; Gammaproteobacteria; Enterobacterales; Enterobacteriaceae. The record is from RNAcentral.